This 751-nucleotide long non-coding RNA is filed under the name Dermacentor andersoni. Its description in RNAcentral is "uncharacterized LOC126524747". The record is from RNAcentral. Lineage: Eukaryota; Metazoa; Arthropoda; Arachnida; Ixodida; Ixodidae.
GAGCGGAUGCUUUCGUUUGCAGUUGUGAGUAUUGGGGCGCUCCCAGUUGUUGCGUAAGCGCGUGCAAUAGUUCAAACGGUGAAUCUCCUGUUCAUGUGUCAUGUAAAUUGUACGGAGAAGGCAAUGGCACGGUAUUUCCGACUUUCUAUCCCGCAGCUGCGCUCCCAGGUGUGCUCCAGCCGAAAGCGGUCUGCAGCGGUGAGCCUGGGUGAGGAGUACAAGCGCAAAUCUGGGGAUGAUUAGUCAUCGGCACAUGCUUCAUUCACCUGCGAUCACUCCCAAUGAAGCUAGACUGAGUUUGACGCAUAUACUGUUCGCAGAAAUCUUCCACUACGAACAAUUUUUCCAGUAACGGUGCAGGUGGACCGAGAAUCUCUCGAACACUAUCGGCGUCGCCAUUUGGCGAAGACGACUUAAGAAUGCACAGCCGCACGAUUCCCCUCUUCAUUCUCUGCUUGGUCAUCGCGGUUGCUGCUCCAGCAGCCGCCAGUAGCCAGCUGGGACCCGUGACUGGCUACAUAUCAAACCUCUUCAACAAUAUUAUGGCGGUUGUCGACGCGGGAAUAAAGGAAGGUCUGGAGCUGGUGGGCCUUCGAAAGUCCACACCGACUCCGACACCUGCUGAUGUGACUACUGAGUAACCCCGAGCCAGCUAAUAAAUGAAAUGCAACUAAUUUCGGCUCUUUACCUCCUACGUUGUUUCUUCGGCAUAUGAGUUAGCUGGUCUAUAAACCUCAAUACUAGUGGACAA